AUGUUCCAACGACACCCACAAUCGUUGAACUGCUACACGAACAAUCUUCCUUUUACUCGAGUACUCCUAUAUGCAAGGACUUCCACAGUUGCUAAACUGCUACGCGAACACCAGUUGCCCCCUCGCCGCCGCCGGUGGUCACCUCCGGCAAAGCCCGGUCUGGUGACGGCGGAGGCGGGGAUUUCGCCCUUCGCGGCCAUUUCGUGGCGGCUGCCCGUCGGCUUGCAGCUGCGGCUGCGCCAGGGCGGCGGCCCUAGUCCGGCCGAGCAGGCCGCUCUCUGCCGCGGUGGAGGUCGGCCAGGGGGCGGCUCAGCCGUGGUGGCUGGCCAUGGCGGAUCUCGGGCGCGGUGUGUUGGGGUUGUCCCCUCCGGUGGAAGGCAGUGGUGUGCUGCGGCUGGGUGUGGUGGGAGACGUGGUGCUGCCGUCUGGUCAGUGCCUGCGUUGCGUAGGCUCCGGCAGCCCUGGCCAGGGUUUCCUCGGAGGGCUGCGCUGGUGAAGGCAUGGGGCGGGCCCUGGUGCAGAGGUGCUGGUCAUCUUGGGUGGUUGCUGGUUGUACCGUAG
Molecule: ribosomal RNA, 561 nt
Filed under: Triticum aestivum (bread wheat)
Lineage: Eukaryota; Viridiplantae; Streptophyta; Magnoliopsida; Poales; Poaceae
Description: partial small subunit ribosomal RNA
Source: RNAcentral